This is an RNA transcript of Rhodamnia argentea, 3255 nucleotides long. It is a transcript of the gene named nuclear poly(A) polymerase 1, with no coding region annotated. Lineage: Eukaryota; Viridiplantae; Streptophyta; Magnoliopsida; Myrtales; Myrtaceae. The transcript has 12 exons. The record is from RefSeq and is a predicted model, not a curated record.
UUCUCUCUCUCUCUCUCUCUCUCUCUCUCUCUCUGUGGCCAAUUGUCAUUACCUUUCAAUUGAUAUCUGCGUAAUCUGCCGACCUCGCAGGUUUUAGUAAUUUUCGCUGACAAUCGGGGGAAUUUGAAGCCGCACGGAUCAUGAUUCUGCAGAGACGACAGGAUAUGAUCGAGAUCUUGAAGCCCCUUUGAUCGGUGGAGGCUCUUUUUCGUUCUGGGUCAUCAUUACUCGCUCCUCUACCAUUAGGGUUUGCUUUUGGGGGUGAAAAAGAAGGAGAAGAAGCAAGAUCAAUUUGUAUUCAGUUGCUUAGUGAUAGGAAAGCAAUCUCGGGUUUAUAUUACCUUGUUGGUGUUUUCUCUUCCUGCUGUGGGUUUCUUUUUAAAGUUGCAAUUUUUUUGUAGCUCCGGCCUCAAAUUCUAAGUGGAUUCUUCCUCCACGCUCUGUACAGUGACGACUAGUUCAUUGCGAUUAUCUUUUUCUUGCUUGUUAAGUUCCUUUUGAUUUCCCUGUGGGGAAAUUGGUAAUAUAGUCUAAAUUGUGCUAACAGUUCCCUGUCACUCCGUGAAAGACUCUGAACAAAGAAGGAAAGGAAAAAAAAAUUAAAGAGAAAAAAGAACACAAAAAAGUGAGUAUUUGAGGAAAAAAAGUUUGUAGCCAAUUUCUAAAUGGGGAGUCCCUUAUUAAGCAAUCGUAGUAGUGGCCAGCGCUUGGGUAUCACAGAACCCAUUUCUUUGAGUGGACCAACAGAGGAUGAUGUGAUAAAGACCCACGAGCUGGAAAAGUUUUUGCAAGAUGCUGGAUUGUAUGAGAGCCAAGAGGAGGCUGUGACUAGAGAGGAAGUGCUUGGCAGGCUGGACCAGAUUGUGAAGAUAUGGGUCAAAUCAAUAAGUCGUGCAAAGGGGCUGAAUGAGCAACUUGUUCAAGAAGCGAAUGCAAAAAUAUUUACGUUUGGUUCUUAUCGGCUUGGGGUGCAUGGCCCUGGUGCAGAUAUAGACACACUAUGCGUGGGACCUAGACAUGCAACGAGAGAAGAAGAUUUCUUUGGUGAGCUACAUAGAAUGCUGUCUGAGAUGAGCGAAGUCUCAGAACUGCACCCUGUACCUGAUGCUCAUGUUCCUGUGAUGAGAUUCAAAUUUAGUGGUGUUUCGAUAGAUCUUCUAUAUGCAAAGUUGUCUCUUUGGGUUAUCCCUGAAGACUUGGAUAUUUCGCAAGAUUCAAUUUUACAGAAUGCAGAUGACCAGACAGUUCGUAGUCUUAAUGGAUGUAGAGUAACUGACCAGAUUCUGCGACUGGUUCCUAAUAUACAGAAUUUCCGUACGACAUUGAGAUGCAUGAGGUUUUGGGCAAAGCGCCGUGGAGUCUAUUCCAAUGUUGCGGGCUUUCUUGGUGGUAUAAAUUGGGCUCUGCUUGUUGCUCGCAUAUGCCAGCUAUAUCCUAAUGCUUUACCCAAUAUGUUGGUCUCCCGAUUCUUCAGGGUCUAUACACAGUGGCGCUGGCCAAACCCUGUCAUGCUGUGUGAUAUUGAAGAAGGAUCUCUUGGGCUGCAGAUCUGGGAUCCUAGAAGAAAUCCAAAGGACAGGUUCCAUUUGAUGCCGAUAAUUACUCCUGCAUACCCUUGCAUGAAUUCUAGCUAUAAUGUCUCUGCCAGUACUCUGCGAAUUUUGUCAGAAGAGUUCCAAAGGGGGAGUGAUAUAUGUGAGGCUAUGGAGUCUAGCAGGGCUGAGUGGGAUACACUCUUUGAGCCUUUUGCCUUUUUUGAAGCAUACAAGAAUUAUCUGCAAAUAGAUAUCUCUGCGGAAAAUGCUGAUGAUCUAAGAAAGUGGAAAGGUUGGGUUGAGUCUCGCCUACGUCAGCUCACAUUGAAGAUUGAGAGGCACACUUAUAACAUGCUUCAGUGCCACCCCCACCCGGGUGAUUUUUCAGACAAGUCCAGACCUUUUCAUCACAGUUAUUUUAUGGGUCUGCAACGAAAACAGGGGGUUCUAGUGAAUGAAGGUGAACAGUUUGACAUUAGGUUAACUGUUGAGGAAUUUAAGCAUUCUGUCAAUUUGUACACAUUAUGGAAACCUGGGAUGGAGAUUUAUGUAUGUCAUGUACGGCGUAAGAAUAUCCCUAAGUUCGUCUUUCCUGGUGGUGUUCGACCUCCCCGUCCAUCAAAAGCUACUUGGGAUUCUAGGCGGGCCAUGGAAUUGAAAGCUGCUAGUAGUAGUCAAGUAGAUAAGUCUCCUGAAGGACAGGGUACUCCUGAUGAAAUGGACGAAGGAAGGAAGAGAAAGCGAGAGGAGGAGGUAGAGUCAAACUUAAAAAGUGCGAGAAUUGUGGCUGCUUUACCUUCAUCUACUGGAGAAGCUCAAGAAAGUGUCCUUGCUUCUGUUGCGACUAAUGGAGCUGGGGAUAUAGGGCAUGACGUAGUUCAAAAUCACAUAACAGGUGGCUCUGCCUAUGGGAAACCUUCAGGUUCUGUUGCUGAUGAAUCAAGUUCAAGGGAAGCAGAGAAUCUAGCAAUUGAAAAGAUCACAUCUGUAUCAUACGUUGCCUGCCCAGAUUUUUCCAAAGAACUUGAUGAACUUGAAGAUGACGUCCAACAGAAAGACAAAUAUGAAGAUACAGAUAAAAGUGGGAAAAGCCCACCAAUGGUGUCUUUGACAUCAAAUGUGGCAGCAACAGCUGUAAUGUCUAGCAAUGGAAUAAGUACGUCUGGUAGUUUCUACACAAGUGGGGAUAUAGAGGAGCUCGAGGCAAAUAAGCUGGAAAUCUAUCUCAGAUACUGCCCGUAUCUUAUGUCUUCUCUUUGUUGUUUGCUCUUUUCUGCCCAAGCCUGCUGAACUUAUGGCACCGCCAUCGAUUGUGAAUCCACCGGCGCCUCCGACACAACGGAAACCGCUCAUUAGAUUGAGCUUAACAUCCCUGGGAAAAGCUAAGGGAAAAGGCACUUGAGGAAUUCAAGCAUCAGUUGGACAAAGCAAAGCUUGCAUGGUAAAGCGGCUCAAACUGUCGCUUGGACAAAGCUGCACCAGUUCCAAAUCAUUGGCUUAGCCUUCCUGUGUUGAAAAACAAACUGAAAAUUUUGCUCCCUUGUAUUGCUUAAUAGUUAUAAAGAGCUCAUAAUUUGUCAAAAGCCUCCCUAGAAUAAUUGACAUUGUGUCUUGUACAUUAAUUUGUAACUUCCUCCUGAGGACCUUUCUUUUUCAUCCAGUAAUGGACAAGGAGAUUAUUAAAGCCUGGCUCAGCGCUUUGCUGGAGCUUUUCAUUACU